Molecule: long non-coding RNA, 874 nt
Organism: Brassica rapa (field mustard)
Lineage: Eukaryota; Viridiplantae; Streptophyta; Magnoliopsida; Brassicales; Brassicaceae
Source: RefSeq, a predicted model, not a curated record
UCUUAAUCUUGUUCUUUCUCUAUCUCUCUCUCUCUCUUUCUCAAGAAACUAUAGUGUACUUUCAUAGACUGUGAAGUAAAGACCUUGAAGGAAGUAUUGAAUAGUGUCGCCGCAUCAUAUAUACGAUGCGAAGCUUCCCUCUCACGCCUCGGCUCAUUACCAAAACAUGCCUUGCGCUCUAUGCUCUCUUCAGAUCAGAGUCUAAAUCCCAUCUUAAUCACUUGAAGGCAGCCUAGUCGAUCUGUUUUCGUCGGCAACCGUAAGCAAGGCUAAGACAAGUAUCGACGAUGGUUAAUGUUUAUGUCUCUGCAUCAAACCUUAACAAAAGAGGAGGAGGCGAGUCGGAUUGGUAUGGAAUCCUCAACGUGGAUCCUUUAGCUGAUUACGUAACAGUCAAGAAACAAUACAAGAAGCCGGCGCUUCUUCUCCAUCCGGACAAGAACAAGUUUAACGGCGCCAAAGAAGCGUUUAAUCUUGUUUUCGAUGCUUGGAGUCUUUUAUCUGAUCACUCUAAGAGAGCCGCCUAUGAUGAACAGAGAAAAUACAAAGAACAACAACAAAAGUGAGAAGCUUCUUGUUCCUCUUCAGACACCACAAAGGAAGCAGAGUGGCUUUUCAAGAAUCGGAUGAAGAGAGCAAACGAAAACUCUACAGACGAAGAAGAGAGGCUCUUCAAGAGACCGGCGCUGAUGAAAACCGGAAACUCAAACUGUACUUCCGAGGCGGAGAGGCUAUUGAAGAAGCCUAUGGAAGCAGCAAAUCCAAACUCUACUUUGGUCUUGUCUUUUUUUUAAAAACCUAAUGUAUGAUUUGUAUUAUUAGAUUGAAGGAAUGUAAACUAAUCAAAUCGAUCAAAGUUCAAAACUUUCUAUCA